AGACGAACGCUGGCGGCGUGCUUAACACAUGCAAGUCGAACGAUGAACACCGGAGCUUGCUCUGGUGGGAUUAGUGGCGAACGGGUGAGUAACACGUGAGCAAUCUGCCCUUGACUCUGGGAUAAGCGUUGGAAACGACGUCUAAUACCGGAUACGACCUCUCUUGGCAUCAAGCGGAGGUGGAAAGAUUUAUCGGUCAAGGAUGAGCUCGCGGCCUAUCAGCUAGUUGGUGAGGUAAUGGCUCACCAAGGCGACGACGGGUAGCCGGCCUGAGAGGGUGACCGGCCACACUGGGACUGAGACACGGCCCAGACUCCUACGGGAGGCAGCAGUGGGGAAUAUUGCACAAUGGGCGCAAGCCUGAUGCAGCAACGCCGCGUGAGGGACGAAGGCCUUCGGGCUGUAAACCUCUUUUAGCAGGGAAGAAGCGAAAGUGACGGUACCUGCAGAAAAAGCACCGGCUAACUACGUGCCAGCAGCCGCGGUAAUACGUAGGGUGCAAGCGUUGUCCGGAAUUAUUGGGCGUAAAGAGCUCGUAGGCGGUUUGUCG
This 550-nucleotide ribosomal RNA is filed under the name uncultured Actinomycetes bacterium. Its description in RNAcentral is "bacterial SSU rRNA". It matches the Rfam family "Bacterial small subunit ribosomal RNA", at positions 26 to 585 of the family's 1533-position model. Lineage: Bacteria; Bacillati; Actinomycetota; Actinomycetes. The record is from RNAcentral.